This 492-nucleotide ribosomal RNA is filed under the name uncultured bacterium. RNAcentral's name for it is "partial 16S ribosomal RNA". It matches the Rfam family "Bacterial small subunit ribosomal RNA", at positions 29 to 507 of the family's 1533-position model. The record is from RNAcentral.
AGUGAACGCUGGCGGUAGGCCUAACACAUGCAAGUCGAACGGCAGCACAGUAAGAGCUUGCUCUUACGGGUGGCGAGUGGCGGACGGGUGAGGAAUACAUCGGAAUCUACUUUUUCGUGGGGGAUAACGUAGGGAAACUUACGCUAAUACCGCAUACGACCUACGGGUGAAAGCAGGGGAUCUUCGGACCUUGCGCGAUUGAAUGAGCCGAUGUCGGGUUAGCUAGUUGGCGGGGUAAAGGCCCACCAAGGCGACGAUCCGUAGCUGGUCUGAGAGGAUGAGCAGCCACACUGGAACUGAGACACGGUCCAGACUCCGACGGGAGGCAGCAGUGGGGAAUAUUGGACAAUGGGCGCAAGCCUGAUCAAGCCAUACCGCGUGAGUGAAGAAGGACUUCGGGUUGUAAAGCCCUUUUGUUGGGAAAGAAAAGCAGCAGGUUAAUACCCCGCUGUUCUGACGGUACCCAAAGAAUAAGCACCGGCUAACUUCGUG